This 78-nucleotide transfer RNA is filed under the name Clostridia bacterium. RNAcentral's name for it is "tRNA-Met". It matches the Rfam family "tRNA". From Rfam's summary of the family: Transfer RNA (tRNA) molecules are approximately 80 nucleotides in length. Lineage: Bacteria; Bacillati; Bacillota; Clostridia. The record is from RNAcentral.
GCCGGUGUAGCUUAGUUGGUCUAUAGCGGCCGGUUCAUACCCGGCAGGUCAUUGGUUCAAAUCCGAUCACCGGUACCA